AAACUUAAAGAAAACAAAAGCCCAAGAAUCCAAACUCCUUCCUUCACUCACGUAACACCCUCUCUCUCUCUCUACCCCCUUCUUCUUUCUCGACGGAAAUCGCAGCAGAUCGCCGCCUUGACCGCCUCCGCCGUCGGCCGCUGCUCUCGGCACGCCGUUCGCUCUGAGCCAUCUCCAGCCGCUGCACCCGACGCCGUCGCUGCUGUUUCGCGCCGCUGCCGCUCGUCGCCGGAGUCCGCCGCUGCUGUCUCGCCGUCCAGCCGCCAGCCACUGCGGUCGUCGCUCCCGGCGUUCAGUCAUCGCACAUCCAACUCCGCUGGAGCCGUCGGGAGAGCGACGCCGCUGCUGUCAGCGACGCGUGCGUCGGUAAUUUCCGCCAUCCGUUGCUCCGAUUCACCCCGAAUCAGACCCGACGCCCCCAACACUCACUCGAUUCUCCCCGCAAGUUAAGUUUCUCAGAUUCGAUUCCAGUUCAUUAAAGUUCGCUCCUUUUAUAUUUUUUUCCAGUUCUCUUUGAUUAAUCGUUUAAGAGGUAAAUUCACAGAUUUAUCGAUGAUAGCGUUUGACGUAAAGAUGCAGCAGUUUCAAAUCGAGAUUGGUUGGAGGGGGUGUAUACCUUCACUAAUCUGAGACGGUCAGAUUGGUAAUGGAGACUAGCAGUGGAUGGAAAAGAGUGUGUGGCUUGAUUCUCUUUCUCGGUCCUGUUCAAGAAGUUCAAUGCGUUUGGCGAUUUGAUUUAGAAGUAAAAACGUGUACAGUGAUAGAGUUCGCAAGAAUACCUUGAGUAGGAAUUUGAAGAGAAGUUCUGUUUUGCUGCAGGGAUGGGAAGAAAGAAACGAAGAGUGAAAUCUGUAUUAUAGAGGAGUAGUAGAUUUGGUGGAGAGAUUGGAGAGAUUUGGGGAGAGAUUCAUGAGAGAGAGACGGUUGCAGCAUCGUGUGUUGGGGAGUGGGAGUUUCGGUUUCUUUCCUUUUUUUUCUCUUUCUGAUUUACUUGAAUUUAUCUGGUAUUUUAUUUAUAGGUUACGGGGAGGAACAAUUCCAUCACGGAGCAGGAAAAUCUACGUAAAAUCUUUAAUUAAAUCUUGAAUUAAAGAUAUUUUAUUUUAGUUGGUUUAGAUUAAUUCACAGCCCGUUGUAUUUUAUUUUAAAUUGUGCAGUCCAUUUAUUUAUCACGGACUGGACCUUUAUUUAA
Salvia splendens (bonfire salvia) is the source of this 1192-nucleotide long non-coding RNA. RefSeq lists it as uncharacterized. The record is from RefSeq and is a predicted model, not a curated record. The transcript has 2 exons. Lineage: Eukaryota; Viridiplantae; Streptophyta; Magnoliopsida; Lamiales; Lamiaceae.